CAAAAUAAGGCAGAAGAAGGAGAAGAAUUGGCCCAUCCGUCACAGGCACUACAUCAACAAGUUCAAGGCCAUCAUCAGGAGGAUUGAGGACCCCAAAACUGUUCCGGUUCCUAUGCAACCAUUCGAUAGCGAAGCAUUCAGCCGGUAUCUUUUCUGGCUAGGUAGUGUGUCUCGUUUGUACAUAAAGCCGCCGGCUUUUGCACCCGAGGACGUAGGAGACGGAACAUAUCCGGAUGAUGAGGACAUGGCCAAGUUGGAUUAUAACAGACGCACAAGAGAGGGUAGAAACCCUGACCCCACACGUGAACUCCGAUUUGUGCGUGAGGAGGUAUCUAGAGUAUUGAGCGAUGCUGAGUUAGCAUUGCAAUCCGGGACCGAGUCCACCCUUCGAGUUUUCGCUGAGCGCACGAAGAAUUGGGCCCGUGGCUUAUGUGCUUUGCUUGGUUGCCGUACCAUCGAGGUCGCCUCACCGACGAGGCCAACUCCCACUUCAAGCUAUGAG
Non-coding RNA from Lolium perenne, 502 nucleotides. Lineage: Eukaryota; Viridiplantae; Streptophyta; Magnoliopsida; Poales; Poaceae. The record is from RefSeq and is a predicted model, not a curated record.